GACGAACCGUGCAAACGUUAUUCGGAAUCACUGGGCUUAAAGGGCGCGUAGGCGGGCCGCCAGGUCCGGGGUGAAAGCCUCCAGCUCAACUGGAGAAGUGCCUUGGAUACCGGCGGCCUCGAGGGAGGCAGGGGCGUGCGGAACUUCGGGUGGAGCGGUGAAAUGCGUAGAUAUCCGAAGGAACACCGGUGGCGAAAGCGGGUUGCUGGGCCGACACUGACGCUGAGGCGCGAAAGCCAGGGGAGCAAACGGG
This 253-nucleotide ribosomal RNA is filed under the name uncultured bacterium. RNAcentral describes it as "partial 16S ribosomal RNA". It matches the Rfam family "Bacterial small subunit ribosomal RNA", at positions 524 to 776 of the family's 1533-position model. The record is from RNAcentral.